Molecule: long non-coding RNA, 931 nt
Filed under: Salvator merianae (Argentine black and white tegu)
Lineage: Eukaryota; Metazoa; Chordata; Lepidosauria; Squamata; Teiidae
Description: lncRNA (ENSSMRG00000016618.1)
Source: RNAcentral
GCCGGGCCUCCUGUCACCCCCUUUGUCUCCUCGUCCCAGGUGGCUCUGGCAUUGAUGCUGCACCUGGGCCUGCCAUGUAGCCCUAAGUCGUUUGUCCUCUAUGAGGAGAAUUGGCAGCACGUGUGUUCCCUCCCGGAGGAUGUACUGGUGGCAGAUGUCCUCACCAGGUUUGGAAACUCGCACUGGAAUUCGCUUGGGAGACUCGGCUUCAAGCAUGAUGGAUAUCUGAGNAUGGACUGUGCCCCCUGCAACAGCCAGAUGUUUGCAGUGCUAUUUGAACAGGGGAUUUCACGCUGGAGCAUUGUCUGCUGGCAUGUGCAGUGGCUCGUCUCUAGCCAGGCAGGCGGUGAAGCCGGAGCAACAUCCGUGCAGAUGUUUCCAGCAGGGGGAGGAGCCAUUUGUGAUCAAGGCUGUAAAGGGCAAGUGGAAACCGUUUCAGGAAAUGGGNCAGCUCAAGGCUGUGACUGCCUUCCUCAACCUCGUGGACCAGUUGUUGGCCUAUGGGUCUGCUCUNUUUAACACAGAGGCUCAUUAGGUGGAGGAAACUUCCGAACAGCUACAGGCGAACGCGUUCAGACCCAAGCUGCAUCAGGAACCUCCCGGGCACCCCUUCACCAGCAAGGACUGUAGUCGCUAAAUUGCCUGAGACUGGCUCUUGCUUGUGCCGACUGGGUAUUUUUCGUGGUGGCCAUCAGCAUUAAAGGCCAGGAUUGGUGCCUUCCCAGUCAGAUACUUGUAGUAGAGAUCUGAUGGUACUGUAUGCUCCUAAGGAGCUGGUAACUGUGCUCUCUCUCUCCUGUGUAGAGGCAUCCCUGUGCUUGUGUAAACAUUUAUUUAUAUUAANAGACAUCUUGUUCUUUUUGUAACAAGUAACUGGUAUUCUUCACUUGUCUCUAAUAAAGCUGCAGGCAGUUGUUUUUGUUUUUUUGCA